This 69-nucleotide transfer RNA is filed under the name Prionailurus rubiginosus (rusty-spotted cat). RNAcentral describes it as "tRNA-Trp". The record is from RNAcentral. Lineage: Eukaryota; Metazoa; Chordata; Mammalia; Carnivora; Felidae.
AGAAGUUUAGGUUAAACCAGACCGAGAGCCUUCAAAGCUCUAAGCAAGCCCUCACAGACUUAACUUCUG